Long non-coding RNA from Rosa rugosa (rugosa rose), 1374 nucleotides. RefSeq lists it as uncharacterized. The record is from RefSeq and is a predicted model, not a curated record. The transcript is spliced from 3 exons. NCBI's taxonomy places the organism in Eukaryota, Viridiplantae, Streptophyta, Magnoliopsida, Rosales, Rosaceae.
CUAUUCUCUUCCAAAAGUCUCACUCUCUCUACUCCUUUUACUCCGAUCCGUGGAAAGUGGCUCCUGGUACAUCCAUGAAUUUUACUUUGUCGGAACAGACUCUUCCUUCAGGUUUCAAAGAUUCGUCUUCAGAUGCUGAAAAUGAGGAAUUUUGGAAUCUUGCUAAUUCAUCAAUUUGAUGAAGAAUUGAUGAAUUUGCAGAUUAUUGCUCUACAAGAGAAUGGAAGGAGAAGGCGUACUGAUUUCGACCUUGUGGUCACCAAUGCCCAGACCAAUGAAGGUUGGUUCGAUUUAGUUUUAGUUAUUCCCUUCUUAACUUAUUUUCUAAUUGAAAUAUGGGUCCUGGGAGUGUGAGUUGAUUGGUAAUUUAUGAUUUUGGGGUUUUCAAAACUAGUUUUGGGAUUGUCUUAAAUUUUGAGUGAUAUUCAGUAGUUAUAUACUGAUCUAGAUUUCAAGAAGGAUGUUAUAUUGCUACAAUGCAGUUCACAAUUAGUUCACUAGUUGCCACCAUGUGUCUUGAAUUUAGAGUGACUUCAUAUGGAUGUCUUCACAAUUUUUAUUGAAUGAACAAAGUUUUGUUGGCUGGUACAGAAUGUACAAAAUUUGGCUAUCAAAACUUUAGUGGUGAGUUGGAUCAUUCUUAGAGGGGACAGGUUCUGUGAGAUUGAAAUCUGGGUUAUGCGAAAUGGUUAAUCUGACUUUAACUUCCUAGGAAACGCAUUUUGGUUGCUCAAAUGCAGCAGAUAUAUGCCUCCCGAAUAUGUGAUGCAUGGACAUUUUUCUGUUCAAUCUGAUGUCUAUAGUUUUGGCGUGUUGAAUUUGGAGAUAAUAAGUGGACAGAAAAAUAGUUGCUUUGCUCAUUGAGAGAAUGUGGAGACUCUUCCAAGCUAUGUAAAGUUUUCUUUCCUCAUGGAGAGAAUGUGGACUCUUCCGAGCUAUGUAAAGUUUUCUUUCCUCAUGGAGAGAAUGUGGACUCUUCCGAGCUAUGUAAAGUUUUCUUUCCUCAUGGAGAGAAUGUGGAGACUCUUCCAAGUUAUGCAUGGAAAAGCUGGAAGGAAGGGAAACCUUCAAAUGUGACAGAUCCCACAUUGAAGAAUGGUUCAAGGACUGAAAUAAUGAGAUGCGUACACAUUGGACUGUUAUGUGUGCAAGAAAAUCUAGCUGAUAAACCAACCAUGGCUUCAGUUAUCCUCAUGUUGAAUAGCUACUCUCUCAGUCUCCCAGCACCCUUAAAACCAGCAUUUUUAAUCUAUAGUAGCGUCGGAUCUAGGAGAAACUUUGACUCUCUCGAAGUAACCGAAAAUGAUGAUGCUUCAUUAAUCACUGAAGUAAAUCCUCGCUAGAGCUUGAAGAUUGAUCGAUAUAACAACACUU